This 253-nucleotide ribosomal RNA is filed under the name uncultured bacterium. RNAcentral's name for it is "partial 16S ribosomal RNA". It matches the Rfam family "Bacterial small subunit ribosomal RNA", at positions 524 to 776 of the family's 1533-position model. The record is from RNAcentral.
UACGUAGGGUGCAAGCGUUAAUCGGAAUUACUGGGCGUAAAGCGUGCGCAGGCGGUUAUGUAAGACAGGGGUGAAAUCCCCGGGCUUAACCUGGGAACUGCAUUUGUGACUGCAUAGCUAGAGUACGGUAGAGGGGGAUGGAAUUCCGCGUGUAGCAGUGAAAUGCGUAGAGAUGUGGAGGAAUACCGAUGGCGAAGGCAGCCUCCUGGGCCAACACUGACGCUCAUGCACGAAAGCGUGGGGAGCAAACAGG